AGCCUUGAUGAACUGAGCCGCGGAGUAGAAGAACGGACUCAUGUCAAACGCCGGGCUGUCAAACGCCUCCACCCCGUGGUCUGCCUCAUGCAGCACUGUGAGCCCAACUCGAUCUUGCUCCCCGCAGAAAGCCUUUCAUACAAAGAUCUGCCAUGAGCUCUACAAUCGGCCUUCGCCUCUUCUUCCCUGAGCGCCAUGGUAAUUCACCACAGCAGAUACCAUAACGUACAGCAUUGUGCAAAACAUUUGGGAUCUUUCAAUGAAAUAGGGAGUAGCAGGGGAGCUGGAGUCAAUUCUGGCAAGCGACAGGCACAGAUUUCACACAGAGAGGGAGAACACCCCCUGCUGCCUGCCUGGAUUGUAUUGCACAGGGUUCAUCUCUCUGAGUGCAUGAAUCAUGUGCCUCACAGCAGCGUUCUGAGAUGAGAUGGCAGUGCCAGUCUGCGUCUGCUGUAGCCAUUUCUUUCUCCAGCCAUGUCAAAGCUAGCUAGUUCCUUUCAUGCAGUUAGUCACUUUGCUAUUGUCUGUCAGAAUAAUAGAAAACGAUUCUAGGUGAGUCCCCAGUUCCCCGCCUUGCUGCCUUCAGGGUCUUCCUCUACGCCGUUGAGGGGUUGC
Long non-coding RNA from Lepisosteus oculatus (spotted gar), 615 nucleotides. RefSeq lists it as uncharacterized. Lineage: Eukaryota; Metazoa; Chordata; Actinopteri; Semionotiformes; Lepisosteidae. The record is from RefSeq and is a predicted model, not a curated record.